AUACGUAGGGGGCUAGCGUUAUCCGGAAUUACUGGGCGUAAAGGGUGCGUAGGUGGUUUCUUAAGUCAGAAGUGAAAGGCUACGGCUCAACCGUAGUAAGCUUUUGAAACUAAGAGACGUGAGUGCAGGAGAGGAGAGUAGAAUUCCUAGUGUAGCGGUGAAAUGCGUAGAUAUUAGGGGGAAUACCAGUUGCGAAGGCGGCUCUCUGGACUGUAACUGACACUGAGGCACGAAAGCGUGGGGAGCAAACAGGAUUAGAUACCCUGGUAGUCCACGCCGUAAACGAUGAGUACUAGCUGUCGGGGGUUACCCCCCUCGGUGGCGCAGCAAACGCAUUAAGUGCUCCGCCUGGGGAGUACGCACGCAAGUGUGAAACUCAAAUGAAUUGACGGGG
RNAcentral lists this ribosomal RNA (394 nucleotides) under uncultured bacterium. RNAcentral describes it as "partial 16S ribosomal RNA". It matches the Rfam family "Bacterial small subunit ribosomal RNA", at positions 523 to 918 of the family's 1533-position model. The record is from RNAcentral.